Long non-coding RNA from Rosa chinensis, 541 nucleotides. RefSeq lists it as uncharacterized. The record is from RefSeq and is a predicted model, not a curated record. The transcript is spliced from 5 exons. Lineage: Eukaryota; Viridiplantae; Streptophyta; Magnoliopsida; Rosales; Rosaceae.
CCAGAUCUAGUUUUUUCUCCCCUUCUGUCUCUCUCUUUCUCCCCUUCAGAGUUCAAACCUGAACAAGAACUAGUUUUUUCUUCCCUCAUUUUAGUUCGGUUCCUGAUCUGCCUCCUCUCUAGUAUUUUCUCUUAUGGGUGACUGGCGCGUCUGAAGUCAGCGAGACACGCGAAUGGCUUCGGACUAUCUUCCCACAACCCAGUUAACAACCCAAAGUUGCAGUGAAGAAUUUUCAUGACUCGGGUAGUGGGGUGAUCUCCCAACAACAUGGGAUAUAGCGGGUAGCAAACUCUGCCUUUACUGAUGAAAACAACAAAUCAUUGUAUUGAGAGAGAGGUUAAUAAUACUUUUGACUUCUAAUUAAAGAAAAUUUAUCACCAGUUCACCACUUUGGUUACGUGAUUUCUGUCCACAUUUUUUAGAAGACUAAUCAAAGAGAUUGGCAAGUUAGCAUUUGCUUGUAGGCUACUUAAACUUCCUAUGUGCGGUAUGACUUGCUGGAGAUCAGGAAACGCUAUUUGGACAGAUAGACAAGUAAGGU